AAUAAUAUUUAUUCUUACUACGUAUGAUACCUUUGGUAUUUUUAAAAUUGAUUCCAUUCCAUUUUUUUUUUCAAAGGCUGGUCUUGACUUUGGUGAUAUUGUGAUUUACCACCCAGAUGACCAAAAUGUAUUUCUUGUGUAUAUUUGGUCUUUGUUGCUGUUUCUGGCUCACAGCUUUCAGAACUCUUGAAAUUUCCUAAGUGUUGAGAGUGCUGAAAGGGUCUUUGUUUUAUCAAUGAGGUGACUUUCAGAAGCACCUAAGGAGGGGGGCUGAUAGCCCUUGGUGCUAACCAUGAGAUUAGAGGGUUGGAACUUUCAGCCCAACCCCUUCGCCACCUCACCAGACCACUGGGGAGCUACUAGGGACUGGAGGUUUAAUCAACUGCCAAUGGCUUAUGAUUUAAUCAGCCAUGCCUAUGCCUUCAUCAGAAGCCUCCAUGAAAACGUGAAAGGACAGGGUUCAGAGAGCUUCUGGGGUGGUGAGCCCAUGGAGGUUUGGGAGAGCAGUGUACCUGGGGAGGGCCUGGAAGCUCAGCACCCCUUCCUUCAUCCCUUACCCUGUGCCUCUCUUCCGUCUGGCUGUUAAGUAAAAUGUUUCUCUGAGUUCUGUGAGCUGUUCUGGCAAAUUAAUCGAAACAAUGGGAUUGUGGAAACCUUUGACUUAUAAGUAGCUGAUCAGAAGCACAAGGUAAUAGCCUGGCCUUGCGACUGGCAUUUGAGGUGGUGUAAAAUCUUGUGAGACUGAGCUUUUUAAUUGUGCCGUCUGAAUUGUUUUUUGGUGUGGGGAUGCCCCCCCCCCCGCCCCGACCCCAGAAAGGAAUUGAUCCAGGAACCCUUUCAGUCUCUAAGCUUAUUUUACUAAUUGAAGCCACACGUUAGGAAUAAGAAAUCUAGUUACAGCUUUGCAAGCCCUGGUGAUUAGGAUAGGCUACCCGAAUACGCAGUGGAAGGAGGUGGAAAGUCCUGUGAGGAUGUGAGGUUUAGGGAUGCUUUAGACAUUUUGGGCUCAUCAAAAGAGCACCUUUAGUUCCUGGAAGACUGAUCUGUGGAGUCCAAAUAAAAUACAGAGCAGAGAUACAGAGAAAACCUAGGGUCUUGGUACUACAUCAAUUUUAUCAGUUUCAUGAGCCAAUAUAUCCACCCCCUUUUUUAAAAAAUUAAUUUUUAAAAAUGAAUCCUUAAAAAUUAUAGUUGAGUUACAGUGCUGGGCCAAUUUCUGCUAUAUACCCCUGACCCCUUUUAAAAAAUGGGUUCCAGAUACUGUACUACAAAAUGUCCUAGCUGAUACAGACUUCACCCAUGUGAGGGAGAGAAUAGUUUUACUUUCACAUUUAUACUUUCUAAUGUAAUUACUUAUAACAUUUUCUAGUUCUAUCAUAGUAUUAGGAUAUAACAGUGCUUUCUAGCCCACCCUCUUUAAAAAUAGCAUAAUGGAAUAUAUAGGAAAUGGUGUUUUAUGGCAUUUUGGGGCAAAGGCUUUCUAAAAGUUUUAAAGUUUUGGAAUGGUAAAGGGAUAGAAAUCCCUUUGGUUCAAGAUAGCAAAGAUUAUAGGGGAGCUUGCCGGAAAUUUGCUAACUUUUUAAAAAAGUUUUGAGUUAAUUUAAGGUAUUUCUUGGAAGUUCAUUUCUGAGUAUUUGUGAAUAACUUCUCACACAGCAUCAAGUACAAACAAAUCUACCAUUGAAUGAAUUCCUUAUAUAAAGUUUGAGAACUAGCAUGAACUUUAAAAUAUUCUAUAAAUACUCUGUAUUUAGCUAAAAUUACUAAGGUCUUUGGACCUAUGUGAUUUAUAUGAUAGCAUAUUUCUAUCAGUUCAUUUAUUAAUAUAAAUAAAUUUUCUGAGGCUCACAUGUUCAUAUCUGGUAAGUUUAUGGUUUUCAGAAUACUAGGGAAUACAGUAUUUAUUUUAUUCAAGUCAUAAUUUAUUGAAGUAAAAAAUUCUCUAGAAAAUUGGAUACGAGGUAUGUAGGAAAAGUUGCCGGUUAUUAAUGCAAUGCUCAAAGUUGCCUAACCUUAGGCAUAAGAAGAGCCUAGUGGAAAAUUCUUCCAGGCUAAUAAAUCUGUUCAAAUGCUCCAAAUGAAAACUCCAUCAGUCAUUUGUUAUUGUUUUUCUUUCCAUGAAAUAAAUAAAUCAUAGAUAUUUUGAGCAUUUGGUCUAUUUCUGAAUCGUUUUAAACACAGCAGGAUAUUGAAAGAUAUCUAGUUCUUGCCUGUGAGGAGGAGGUUAUGAUCUAUUUGCAGCAACAGAUUAUACACAGACUAGGAGUUAAACCAAUGAGCCUCACAACUUUCUGACAUGGAAACCACAUGACACUAAAAACCCCGGAGGAUUGGUACGAUGUAAUAUUUCAUGACCCAAAAGUUCAUUGGAACUUCUGAAGAACUUUGAGGUAUAGAUUAUGGUCGAGCCACACACUCUGAGGCUCAAGAGCUCUUGCUCAGUUCUUAAUGGGUCGGAGGUGAGUCAUCAAGUGGUCACAGAGGUGUGUAGCCCAAAGUGUUCUGUGAACUAAGAGGAAGGAGAAGUAACCAAUGUGCAAAACCCAAUGUGACUUUUAAAUGGCUAUAAGCUAAGGUUAAGGGAUGAGGACAAAAGGAACAGCAAGGGCAUUCCAGAUCUUAGAAAUGGUGUGAACGAUCUUGACUUGGCAAAGGUUGUGACAUAUAUGAAAGAGAACAGAUGGGCUAUUUUGGCCUGAGCCAACAUGGGGCCAACUGGGAAAGAUUUAAGAAAAGGACUGCAGUGUAGGAACUGCAAUCCUAAUUUCUUUCUUUUACUCUAACAUUGAGUGUUUAAGCACUUUUUGUUUUUAGUCCUCUAAACAUGUCUUGGGAACAUGUUUGUAAUGCUUUAUAACAGUUUUCAAGGCUUAGAGAGUGUUAAGAAUACACCUGCAGAUUUAUAAGGAGCAAUUAAGGGUGUCUCGAAAAAACAUUGUUUACUCAAUGUUUAAUUUAAUAAAAAAAGUCCAUUUAAGUAAUCAACUUAAUUCUCAAACAUUUUAUUUUUGACACUCUCAAAUCAAAUAAGUAAUGAUUAUUAUCUUUAGGUUAGAAGUGGAGACUCAUUAGAUUUAAAAUAUUUUUCAAAGCCUUAGCAAUAUUGUUUGUAACAAAUAAAAUGGAAUCCACUAGCAUGUCCUUUGAUUGUGAGUUUUCAAUCCCCACCGGAACUUUUGGAGAACAAAUAAAAUCUAUGCUAAGGUAAACGUAGUUAUUUACUUUAUAAUGGGACAUAACGCCUUUGCCCAUUUGGAAGCUAAAGGCAACUUACAUGUCUUGGAUUGGGUGAAGGCAAUGAUGUCGUUUUGUCCUCGGGACUCUAUUUAGAAGAGAAGUUAAAACAAAAGUUAAAAAUUGAGAGGACAGACUUAACACAAUUGGAUUUUUGUCUUAGGAGGAGAUUUUCUAAAGUAUAAUAUUUUCCCUAGAAAUGCCUUAGGCCCAGCUUGUGCUUGCCUUAAUUUUGUCCAUAUUCCUUGAAAGAUACUUUGUGUAUUAGUAUGAGUUGACUUGACUUGAAUUUAGCUUUGUUGGAUCUGGCCGCUAUUGAGUUGACUGGCUUCCCAAAGACAUGGAGAUAGAGCGGUCCUUUUCAAUAACCAAUCCUUGGAACUAUUUCCUACUCUCUAUAACUCUCAGAAGUCUCUUGGAUAGUCAAAAGACCGGAAAAUGGCUGGGUAUUAAGGCAGGACAUUACAGACUCAAUAAACCAAAUUUGUCAGAUUUCUCUUCCCUUCACCCCGAAGCAGAGUACCAGGAGUUAUGCAUAAAUAUAAACUCUAAGCUCUAUCUACUCUUAAAUUCUUGGCAUUGUUUAGGUUAAUAACUUGUCUUUUAUGUGGUGUAUUUACCUAUGGAUGAGGAUGGUGAAAUCACUUUCAUUGAGAACAUUAAAGAGUAAAGUCUGGAAAAAAAAGAGUAAAGUCUGAAUACUAUUAAGGUGGGUGAUUAUUAUUAUCAGUCAAUGGAGAGAAUCAACAGUUGCAUUAGACGAUGAAUGGGUAAAACAACAUAGAGUCAGUGUUCUAUGAAUUAUUAAAGAGAAUCUAGGAUAUUAAAUCUACAGUAAACCAAACUGAAAAUUCACUAAAAUUGCUGGCUUUUCUUUUAAUUUUAUACUUAUUUAAUUUUUAGAAUAAUUUUUGGUGCAUAUAUUUAACCUAAAAUUGAAAAACAAAUGCAAAGUGAGGUCAAAUUUCCACCUCCACUCCCCACCCCCAAAUAAGGAACUUAAAAAGUAUUUAACAACACAUUUUACUGGGUUGGCUUAUUAAAGCUCACUUGACCUAAAUGGUAAUAAAAUUUACCAUAUAGAGAUGUUAGCAGAUAUUUUUCUGUGGGCGAAUCCUUAAUAGAAGAGAAAUGUAAUUUCAACUUUGAACAGACAACCAACAAAUUUAAGAACAGGAGUUUCUUUUUAGCUUGUCAUAUUAAUAACAGCAUGUCCUUUGGUUUCAGGUAGCAGAAUAAGGAAGUGACUGACAGCGCCUGACUUCCUACUAUGAAAAAGAAUUCUUCCUACCUGGAUGGCCUGCAUCACAAACUUGCUUUCCCAGCACUGACUGUUAUUGUUCUGGUAUCAUUGGAUUGGAGAAACUGACCCACUGGAACAUAAAACAUACUUGGUUCAAAUGGCUUCAUCCAGAUUUGAGAAGUCAUUCGAGAGUGUUUGAAACCAAGGUAAGGGUCAUUUUAUUAUGGAGUUUAUUAGUGUUGUUAGGGACAAGUUACUGCUAAAUUGGUAAAUAGAAUUUAAGAAGAAGCCUGUGAACCUAGACGUAUUAUGAAAUACUUUAUAUCUGUUCAUAUUUUGAUAACUUAGAAUCUGAACAUAUUAGAAGGACAGGGGCUUGUCCCCACCUGGACAAAAGUAGCUUCUACGUAGCUUCAGUCAGAGCUAAUAAUCAUUUGGUUUGAAUGGCCAUACAUAGUGUUUCAAAUUUUGGCAGAUUUCAUCCUGUUAAUUUGGGUGGCAAAUAUCUACACGCAUACCCUAUUACUGGGUUUUCUUUCAAGCAUCAGAAGGAGCUUUAUUUGUCCUUCUUCGAGUUUUAUGGAGAUACUAUUAACAUACAGCACUGUGUAAAUUUAUGGUGUGCGGCACAAUGAUCUGACUUACAUAUCUCAUGAAGUGUUGAUCACGAUAAGCUUACUGUCAUCUCAUAGAGCUAUAAAAGAAAAGAAAAAGUAUUUUUUUCCUUGUGGUGAGAACUCAGAAUUUACUCUUAUCAGUUUUCAUAUAUAACAUCCAGUUAUUAAUUUUAUUAAUCAUGUUGCCUAUGCUAUUGGUUGGUGUUAGUUAGAACAUUCUACAAUAUUGUGAUUUUGUGGCUUUUAGAGGACUACUCAUUUCGUGUAAGUCUCAAUUUCCAAAUAUAAAGCAAGGAACAAGUGAAGCAUGUUUUAACCUACCCAGGUAGUCCACGAGUCCCUUUGCAGCAUGCACCGCACUUUCUGUGACUUAUACCCGCAUAAAAUUCAGCAGAGAAUUCAGAACACAAUAUUUGAAGUGUAUCUUAAUAGCAGCUGAUGACAGCAAUGUUUGAGUGGUUUAGGAACUUUGAAUGGCAAGAUCUGUAAUCUGUAAAGUAUAAUUAAAAUGUAUAAUUACAAAGUCUAUAAUCUGUAAUGUGUAACUUUGAAGUUUGUUUUUCCAAAGAGAUUUUUAUGCUGCUUGUGGAUCAGGUAUGAAUUACUCAUAUCUGUAACAGCAACUAAUGCUACUUGACUGAGUCAGUGAGUGACUGAAAAACAACUAUUUGAUAGUUAUCAAAAUAAGUACAAUUAUCGUGUGACCUGCAAUUAAUACAAAGUAGGGGAAAGGUGUAAAGGAAUAUAAACUAAAAAAUAACAGUUCCCUUUAUAAGAAGACUAGACUUAGAGGAAUGAAAUUUACUUACAUCUUGUUAGAAAGCUGUUGUGGAAGUGAGUAGCAUCUGUAAUGGUUGAUAGUCCAGCUUUAAAAACGUAGUGGACAGAGGUCAUGCGCCUAAGGAAUUUCCUACCUUCAUGCCCAGAGAGCUUGAUGCCCUUCUCUUUGAGUGGUGGGGACAGUCCUUUUUGUUCUUCAAAUGUGCAGUCAUAUAUACUGAACUGGAACCAUUGAGAUUAAUGGCUUAUCAGUGUCGAAAGCCUGAGGCCAGCAAUGGAUGCUAACUUACCGAAAUCCAAGUAUAUUUUAAAAGAGCGCUGUGGGCACUUGAAGUAUGGAUGCUGAGGUCUCAACGUCAAUGAGCACCUUCUCCAAAGGAAAAAGACAAUGGCUUUAUUUUUCACAUAACCUAUCAAAGGUGAAUUUUGCUGCUUUUAAGCAAAUCAAAAUUAUAGGUGACUUACUACUGCAAAAAUGUUGUAUGUGUGUGUAUGUGUAUGUCUAUGGGUAUACCUAUCAGCAAGACUUUUCUCCUUCCAAGAGGAAAGAUAUUUCUAUAGUCACUUCAUGUGCGGUUUCUGCUUUCCUCACCCAGCUGUCCAACUGGGACGAUUCUCUUUUUCCAUGUGUCUCCAGACACAGGAGAAGGCUUAAGGAGAAUGACGCAGGCAGGGGCCGGUGGCCUGGCUUCUCCCCGCUUCACGGCCUGCCUUCUGGGGCCUGGCCUGGUGUGUGGCUGCUGUUUAUACCUGCUGAAGUGCUUUCUGUGUUUGCGUUGGCGCUGCCAGCUUACAUGCUGAAGCCCCAAGCCGUUCAUGAGGUCUGUCCCAGAGCUUUGAAACCUAUGAGCUGGCGGCUGGGGCGAGAGAAUGUCUCUCUCAAUUUUUGGGUGAACUCCAUGUUUUUUCCAAGAGGUUAGAUCACUGUCCGCAGUCCAGGCUUGCUAGACAGAAUGUAACAGUUACUGUUUGAGACAUCCGGAACGUUUAAGGGCAAAAGGCAGAGGGGGAAGGGAAGAGAAAAAUAAAAGCUCAAGGUCAACUUCACAGCUUGAAAGCGAACAUUUUUACAUCUGGUAAACAAAAAUUUUUACGGAACUGGAAAACUUUAUCACCAAGGAAGGAAAAAAAAAAAAAA
RNAcentral lists this long non-coding RNA (7012 nucleotides) under Sus scrofa (pig). RNAcentral describes it as "lncRNA (ENSSSCG00005024172.1)". Lineage: Eukaryota; Metazoa; Chordata; Mammalia; Artiodactyla; Suidae. The record is from RNAcentral.